GCUUCUCUGAAAAAGUUAGAAGAAAAGAACACAAAAUUUAGAAACCCACCCCUGACCUGGUCUUCUUCACAGAACCCACCACAAACGACCCCCCAUUCUUCUUCUUCAAUGAAGAGCUAACCUAGAGAUCUCUAAGGCUAAGAGAUGAGGCGGCGCCGAUAAUAAUACAGAGGAGCUACUCGAUCUCCUUCUCCACACGCAUCUCCCUGUUCUUCUUCCCAACCAGCAACGGCUCAGUCCAAACUUGCCAGAAGAAGCAGCCAUAGCAGAGAACAAAAGACCACCCUUCUAGCGCUAACUCCUUCUUCAUCUAACAACUGAAAUCAGCGACCAUUUCCACCACAGCUAGAGCUUAUUACACGAGAGAUCUGGCGAGUUUCGAGGUCUGGUCGUAAUUCCGUUGAGGUUUCCGGCGAAGCUCUGGUCCUGCAGUUCGAGGAUGUCAUCUGGUCAGCGUUUUCAGUAAUUGUUGCGACUGUAAAAGAUCGAUCUUCUUUCAGAUUAUAUCAACACUGGAAGGAACUCAUAUAUUGGUAUAUCCAACAUGAUGAAUUUGAUAACGCUCCACUACUGUCAUGAAUCAUUCUCCAGAUGCUUGGGAUCAUAUGCAAUUCAAAGAUAUUGUUGUGAAAGCUGCUAAUGUGGUCUUUGUGAAUAUAUAUAGAGUGUUUGAGUUUUUUUUUUGUUCUAUUUAUUUAUCAUUUUUCGUUCUUUCCUUCUUUUUCUGUUCGGAAUUUGCGCAAAUUGAUUUAUGUCAUUUUCUGUUUGUCAGUAGUUUAGGAAGAACUUGGUAUUUGGUUGAGGCACUGAUAGUAGUAAUAGUUUUGUUUUGGAUACGUUUAAUGUGUUGAAGUUAUGAUCUCUGUUUGUAAUUGUUUAGCGGUUGAAUCUAUUUAAUCUGUGGAAGAUUUGAUCUUUUUGUGA
This is a long non-coding RNA of Nicotiana tabacum (common tobacco), 924 nucleotides long. RefSeq lists it as uncharacterized. NCBI's taxonomy places the organism in Eukaryota, Viridiplantae, Streptophyta, Magnoliopsida, Solanales, Solanaceae. The record is from RefSeq and is a predicted model, not a curated record.